AUUUUGUCAUUUGAGUGCAACAUAAACUAUUGCUUCUUUCCCUGGUUCAUCAUUGAAUUUGUCACAAUUUUUUUUAGGGAUCAUAUGGAAAAGCUGACAUCACUUUUGUCUCCUGAGGUCUGUUCCUCUGAAGACGCUGCAUCAAGAGGUCCACUGCUCUUUCAUGCAAUACACAAGAAAAUCCAGGCAAAGAAUUCAGCAAAGAUAUUUUGAGAAGCUUAAUCCACGCUUUCCAUGCACUCCUUCUGGAAAGGGCUCCUCUUCUCACAUUUGACUGCAAUGGUCAGGGAAUGUGACUCACCAGCCCAGAAGGACAAGAAGGUGAAUGCUUCCAGCAGUGACAUCCUGUCUGCCAGGCUGUGUCCUCAAGGAGAAGGCAGGAAAGUGAGGACCUGAUGACUGGAUGCCUCAGUAGGAAAGUUGGUCAAAGUUACCCAGUCUGCUAUGAUCUGAAGACACCUUUUGACUUUUCCAGGAUUUUCAUGCAGAAAAGAGCGUCUGCAAGCUCAGAGGUUGAAACUGAAAUCAAGUGGUAUAAUUCAGAGAAGAUGCAUUUUGGGCACUGUUGUUUUCUCCAUUUUGGAGAUGAGAAAACCGUUACCUAGAAGAGGUAAGACCUUGCUCAAGGUCGCAGAACUCAUAAAUGGCAAAGCAGGAGUCAGUGAGGGGUGAAGAGGGGUGUAGGGCGGUGCGGAGGCUCACAGCAGAGCACUGGGCAGCUCCCCUGGGGAAUGUGGACGAUGCUGUUCUGUAGGGAGAUGAGUGAGGAGCUUGUUCCCCUGUUGGCCACACCCUCAUUAUCACCAGUUCACAGAGCUCCCUCUUCCAUGGAGUCAGGCACUGAGGUGGGGGCAAGAAGGAGAAAGGGUUCUGUGCUAUUAGCACAAUGGGGAAGAUGCAAUGAAGGAACAACCUGGAAACAGAGCUAAAGUAAGAUUCAGGCCCCUCUACCCCGACCCCUUCUCACGCAUACUGGGGGGGUCUUAGCCUCGACCUAGGCCUUCAAUAGAAGGUGGGAGUGCUGGGUUCUUUCACAGGCAGGCAUGUCUGAAUUAAAAAUUCCUCACUGCAAAAACAGAAGCCAAGGGAGACAGACAAUGAGUUAAUGAAUCUGAGGAACCCAUUUCCUUCAGAUGAUUUAGACUUUUCUUUAACCAUUUUUACCAAUGCUAUUAAACUGUACAUAAACUUUGAAUUUUCAACUGAAAAUGUGUCAAUUCAGCUUAGACCUCAAAAAGCUUUUUUUCUCUUCCCCACAUACAGCAGCAGAGGGGUUUCCUGUUUGGGGCUUGAGAAUCAGUAACACAGAUUUUCUUCUCUUUUCUUGCCCUUCCCUUCCCUUUCUUUUAUUUUCUUUUCCUUCCUUUUCUUUCUUUUUUUUGAGGAAGUUUAUUGGCCUUGUAAAAUGGUAGUGAACAUAAUUAUAACUUUUUUUAAUGAUUUUGCAUUAAUACAGAAAUCAGAGCCACAGAAUUUUAGCAGUUAAGACACAUCUUUAUACAGAUGAAAGAACAGAUGUCCGUAGCAGCUGGAGAUCCACCCAAAUUUCCAUAUGGGGUGAGGUUAGGGGAAAGUGGAGGCCAGAUGGCCUGAUGUCUCCCCAGGGCUGACUGCAUCAUCCUGCAUGGAGAUUGUCAUCUACCACCACGAUCUGAGUGGUGGGCCUGCUAAUGGACGAGGGCGCCCAGAAGGUGGCAAUAUUGUCUCCUGUGCAUCUACCCGCUGACUCCUCUGCCACAAAGUGAUCGAUGGAUGGUGGUGCAGCAACUUAGAAACUGGAUUUAGGAAUUGCUUUCAACCACUUUGUGGUAAAUCUUUGGAGAGUCCUUUACCCUUCAAAUGAUUUGCAAAAUAUUUUAUUUACAUAUUCUUCAGGAGGGAUGGUGAGAUUCUUAAAUUGUUAGUCUCUAACAGAACUAUCCGAUAGAAAUAAAUAUGAGUCACUAAUUUGAGCCACAAAUUAUAUUUCUUUUAGCUGCUGCAUUAAAAAGGUAAAAAGAAACAGGUAAAAUUAAUUUUAUGACUAUUUUCAUUUAGUCUAAGAUAUCCAAAAUAUUAUCAUUUCAACAUGCAAUCAAUAGAGAAAUUGUUAACGAUAUAUUUCACUUUUUUAAUACUCAGUCUUCAAACUCUGGUUUGUAUUUUACACAUUCAGUCCAUCUCACCUUGGACUAUUGGUCUGGCUACGUUUCAAGUGCUUGAUAGCUACAUGUAGCUAGUGGCUACUGGAUUAAGCAGAACAGACUCUCCUCCAAAUGCUUCAGAAACGCUGACCAAAUGAUCUUUACAAAGGUCUCCUCUGACUAGACGGCUCCCUGAGUCUGCGCCAGCCUGUGCACUUGGGUUCUUCAGUCUCAUCAGAUUGUCUGCAGUGGGCUGGUGGAGGUGGCCUAGAAGAGUCUAGGAUGCUGAGGGAUGACUCCAGGGCAACCUAAGGGACCCAGGGGUGGUGGAAAUUACCGGGCAUAAACAGCCCAGGGAGUCUGAGUUCUUUUUGUAUGGGGGCCACUGUGGCUCAUGGGGCUGUAUGGGUCCCAGGUAGUGCAGUAAUACAUGCCUGCAUCAUGCUUCUCCAGCAUCAGCACUGACAGGGUACUGCUGGUGCCGUCCUUGGCCUCUAUGGAGGUGAUUUUAUCCACUUUCAGGACCAAAUCCCACAACACAUCCGGCUUAAACAUGUCCAGUCAGAGAAGUCUCUCAAGGUCCUUGCCCUCCUGGUGGUGGUACCAGUGGAUGCAGCAGACUGUGAUGUGGGCCAUGCCCAGCAGGAUUGCCAAGCUACCCGAGAAUACCACCACCAAUGCUUCCUGCUCCAGCUUCAGCACAGCCAGGUUGCCUGCCGGGGAGAUGGCCGUGAAGCAGGGGCAGCAAGAGUCUCACAAACAGGAGGGCCAAUAGCAUGGCAAGGUGGCCCAGUGUGGCUCUACUUCCUGCCCAGGUAGAGUGAAGCCGAGAGUGACCUUAUGGGAAAAACUGCUAAGGUGAGCCACAUCUUUGUGUGUGGUGGAGGCCAGUUAAGCCUUUGAGCCACUGCUUCAAAACAAGAAGGUGACUUGUGAGAGAAAUGGGGGAAGGAAGGAGUGACUGGAAAGAGAAGAGAGAAAAGUCUGACCACAAGGUGAAGGGAGGGAUGAUAAAUGGUGAGAAUUCUGAGAAACACUUAGAGAAUGUUGGUGGAAUAGUAACAGCAAUAGUAGCAUUCUUGGAUUGGACAUGGACUACACUCUGGCACUAUGCUAAUUAGCGUAUGUUUAUUGUUUUAUUAAAUCCUGCAAAUAACCCUGUGGGAUAAAUAUUAUUAUCCUCAGUUUGGAAAUGGGGAAAGCAAGGCUGGUAUUUUAAAUCAGUUUCCCAAGACUGCACAUUGUGAAAGAUGACAUGAGUGGGGCCACAUUAAAAUGGAGGCAGAGCAGCCAUUUCCAAGGAUUUUCCUAGCUCAUCUUGCUUUCUUUAUCCCCAAACUGGACUAAACUGCUGACAUUCUAAGUAGUCAGUAAGGACAAGAAUAUCCUGUUUGUAAGAAAUGAUGAAAUUGGACUUUGCUGAUGACCAAAUCACUAACCAAUCAACGAAGUACAAGUCCAGCCUUUUGCCUGAUAACUGAAUCUUAAGUCAAUCUAUGAAGAACAAUCCUAGCAUUACCUCAUCUGGCAGCAAUGAACUCUUCUCUAAUACAACUUACCUCAUCUUCUUCCAUUUUUCUCAUAAAAACCUGAGUCCCUCUCUUGUAAACAGGACACUUCUUUGGGUUUCUACCUGAAUCUGUUCCCUGAAUUGCAAUUCUUUAUCCCAAAUAAAUGUUUUGCCUCUUAAACUGGUUUCUGCUUCUAUAGGUUGACAUAUGGUGUCAGAAGUGGGAUAUGAAGCGAUCUCAUCUUUGCACACCAGUGUCUCCUGGAAACAGGUUUGGUAUGAACAUGAGUCCCCUUGUGUGUGCACCACUUCCAUGGACCAGCUCUUCCAAUCAGGAGUCCACUCAGUUACUCUAGAAUACAGGUUUCUGAUCAACUUUUACAUCAUAAAACCAAACUGGGUAACAAAUGACAGAGUCUAACAGAGAAACUGAUGGCUUCAUAAAACUGCUAACAAAAGAUCAAGAACAAAUAUUAAUUACAUGGGACGACAUGAGCUGAGGAGGAUGCUUUAAUGUUUCGUUUUUCCAUAUUUAAAGAAAUCUUUUCUCUUCAGCUAUCAACAAUUUGACUGGACCAAACUGCCAACAUCCCAAGAAGUCAGAAAGGACAAAAAUGUCCUAUUUGUAAGAACUGAUGAAAUUAGACUUUGCCGAUGAGCAAAUGGUAACCAAUCAAUGAAGCACAAAUGCAAUCUCUUGCCUGAUGACUGGAUCUGAAGCCAGUCUGUGAAGUACAAACCCAGCCUUGCCUCAUCUAGCACCAAUAAACUCUUCUUUAACACGACUUACCUCACCUUCUUCCCUUUUUCUCAUAAAAACCCUGAGCCCCUCUCCUGUAAUCAGGACACUAUUUGGAUUUCUACCUGAAUCUCUGCUCCCUCAAUUGCAGUUCUUUGAUCCCAAAUAAAUGCUUUCCCU
This is a non-coding RNA of Equus caballus (horse), 4552 nucleotides long. The record is from RefSeq and is a predicted model, not a curated record. Lineage: Eukaryota; Metazoa; Chordata; Mammalia; Perissodactyla; Equidae.